Notothenia coriiceps (black rockcod) is the source of this 421-nucleotide long non-coding RNA. RefSeq lists it as uncharacterized. Lineage: Eukaryota; Metazoa; Chordata; Actinopteri; Perciformes; Nototheniidae. The transcript has 3 exons. The record is from RefSeq and is a predicted model, not a curated record.
UCCAUCCACACCACACGUCAAAGGGACUUGAAAGCUUGAAUAAAGAUGCUCAACGUCUCAGGUCGCUGGAGCCUUGUCACCGGGUGAAACUCAGUUAUCUGUAGGGACGUGCGCACACACAGAAGCAGCGUAGGUUUUUCUUAAGCUGAAAGUCUCGUGCAUCCUGGUUUCGGCGCGAGGACAUUCCACCGACCGACAUGGAACUGAAGAAAUCUAUUUCGGACACCGAGCGCGCGCUCAGGAGCUACGGCGCCGUGUCGGAAACGGCAUGGACAACAGACAAAGGUCAUUCAGAUGUGUCCAUGGCGGAGAGCACCAUGGCUCCAGAGGAGAUCGAGGUGGAGAUGGCUCGGAUCCAGCGCCUGCGAGAGGUCCUGGUGCGCCGGGAGUCAGAGCUGCGCUUCAUGUGAAUGACAUACAG